Long non-coding RNA from Pogoniulus pusillus (Red-fronted tinkerbird), 11439 nucleotides. RefSeq lists it as uncharacterized. The record is from RefSeq and is a predicted model, not a curated record. NCBI's taxonomy places the organism in Eukaryota, Metazoa, Chordata, Aves, Piciformes, Lybiidae. The transcript has 4 exons.
UCUGUACAUCUUAAAUAGGACAGGGUAGAAAACUUUUGCCAGUCCUCAACCUCCCAGCAGGAAGGCUAGGAAAAGUGAUGGUGUUCAGUGAGAUUUUUUCCAGUCAAUUGCAGGAAAAAGAUGUUUUUUUCCUCCCUCUCUGGGAAAUGUUUCACCAAAUGUUUCCUCUUUCUUCAUGCUUGUUUCCAUGAAACUCUUCAUGGAGGCUUCACCCUCAUUUUACUAAAGAAUACAAAACAGGAAAGGCUGGAAAAUUGCUGUCACACAAAUUAUCUCCUUUUGCUACUUCCUUUUUGCUAAAAUGGAUGAAAGUCAGGUGAUUCAGGACCUGUUCCCACAGACUUCACUGAGAAGCAGAGGUAGCAGAAGACUCGUCCUACCAGUGAGGUAGACACACCCUUCCAAUGAAGAAGUCACACUCUACCAAAGAAGAAGUGGCCCUAAACCAACAGCAGCAUGAGCCAUGGUAGUAGAGACUGGUGAGGCUGAGCAGCAAUCAGGCAGUAGUUCAGGACACUGCUCUGUUUACAUCUGGUCUUGUUCUUCUUCAUGUGAAUCCUGAACACAGCAAUUAAGUUGUUGAGUUUGUGCUAAUUUGACUAUAAUGCACUGUAAAUUCCCAUCAGUAGUGUAGUGUCUUGAGGUGAACAGUCAUUGGGAAAAUGUGAUGUGCAGCAUUUCUUAAGUAAAGCAAAUUACUGCGAAAUUGCUGCCUGUCCUGGUGGCAAAGAGGCAAGACACAUAUUUCUUCCCUUGUCCUGAUGUUAUACCAUGUCCAUCGAGAUUUAGUGGAGUAAUUCCUGCUUCAAACUGGUGUGAAACUAUGUUCAGGUUCAUGAUACCAGAAAAUGUAAACAUUACUGCUCAACUCCAGUAUCUCUCCUUCUCCACCUCCCCCCCAAGUCUUUUCUUUCUUAUGUUUGAAGCACCUAAAUUUCCAGUUCUGGGACCACCUGUCUUCUACCAUCAUCCCCAGCACAUGCAGCCGUUGCACCCAGCACCCCAUGCACAGAGCACCAGUCCCCUAGGGAUCUGUGGAUGUGGGAGGGUGGGCUCAGUAGAAUGAAGAGCAUUUUACAAGGAUGCCCAGGCUUGGCAGUGUGGAAGAUGAAAAUUAUCCCCCAAAAUAAAAUCAUCAGACUAGCUCAGAAGGUUUGGAAGCAAAAUGAAGCUAUGUAUUUACAGCAAGCUGAAAUCUAAGAGCAUAAAAUGCAAUGUACAUGUACAAAAAUAUAUUUACAAGUAUUUACAAAGUAAAGACAACACAAGGACCCUCUUAAGGACCCAAAUCACCUCUCUAGACAAACCCAGAGUGGCUUCCAACAGCCUCCUUCUCCCUCCUCCCCCCUUAUUUCUCUCUCCCGUUACACUACAGACAGUUUGUACCAGCAAGAAAUUCAGGACAGAGAUAAGAGCUAUGCAAAGCAGAGUUGCAGAGGAGAGGAGAAGAAAGAGACAGAAUUGUUUAUGCAAGUGAAUUUUAUCUCCGUGAGCAAGCAAAUGGAAUCACAUCGAUUUUUUCUUUGUUACUCGUUUUGCAUCCAAUAGCUAAUUAUUCGCUUUUUAACCUUUGUUUUUGCCGUUCAGCGUCUCUGGAAAGUCCCUAUUCCUUGGUUACAGUUAGACACAAAAUAACUAAGCUAAGCCUUAAACCACAGCAACCGGCCUCCUGCUUCCCCUGGGAAGGAGCUGGGAGUCUCCUGCUGCCCACUCCUCCAUCACUGCCUGAGUACACAAGCAGGGGCUCAGCAGUGACAUCCUCCCAUCCUAAUGCACACUUUUAGCGCCUCACCAAAUUCCAUUGUGCCGCUUAGCUAAAUAACAAAGUUACCAAUUACCCUUGAACAAAGGCCCCAUUAAUGAAGCAAUUAGGAUAACAAUUAUCAGAUACAGGCCAAUUAGCCAUUUCAGUAGCAAUUAUGCUAUUAGGUUACCAGUCACGACAUCCCAUACACGAGCUAAAAAUCCUCACAAACUCUUUUAUUUUAAAAAGUCGAAGAAAAACAUAGUGAAAUAACACAAAAACAGCAGGGCAUGAUUCAGGCAAUCAGUGGGUGUUUUUACUGCUGUAUUAUAUUACAUGUAGCAGCUAAAAUGAAGUUGCUUAUUUUGGAAUUUAACCUUUUAUUUUUAUCUAAAUAAAAUGUUUUGUACCCUCAAAAAGAUUUUUUUUUUCCCCCAAAACCAACACUGGAGAAUAUUACUCUACAAGGAAUUUGAUUCCCUUCCAGACUGACAUGGUAUGAGAAAACAAGCAUUAUUUUCAUAAUAAAUACCAUACCCACAUUUUCCCUCAGAGCUGACUGAUGAAGUCCUGAACACUAUCUAAAGUCCCAUGCCGAAGUAGUAUUUCUGGUGUCAAAUGAGACUUUCCAAAAGUGUGUAAUUUUAGCUCUUGAGCCAGGAUGGAGCCAAUGAAAGAAGCACAUGCUGAAAGCAAAGAUCUCCUUAGGGUGGAUAUAGGAAAAGGUGGAAACUUCAGAAAAGAAAUGAAGCUUGCACCUGAAGAGCUCUAAACUUAGAGCCGAGGGAGAGGAAGGGCUCACCUCGCCCCCACUCCAACUGCUCAUGAGAUGUGAUUACCUGUAAGGGUGUGUGCAGGAAUGAGCUUGUCCCCAAGGGGACACCAAAGAGGGUAACAGUGGACUUCUGUCAUACAUCAUUAGCGAAAUAGCUUACAGAAGCUCGGUUUGCUGGGAGGGGAAGAGCAAGUCUCACAACUGUGGAAUUCACCCUCCAGCCUGAUGCUCCCCUUGCAUCAGCCUCUCCCAAAACCCAGCAGCCACUGCUGCCGGAGGUGAAGUUUCACUGCACGAGACCCAGAGUGGGUGAUGGAUGUCUGAAACCUGCAUCUAAUGCUCAGCAUGGUGAGACACAUUUGUAUCUGCUUCCUGACGCUGUGGCAUGACUGGGAAAAAUGAUAAGGCAGAAGCAAUUGUUACUACUGCCAGAAGGCAGGCUGCAGUCUCUCAGUGCUGGCUCUGGGCAGAAAUCAGUUCUUCUCCAAAAUGGAUGGUGAUACUUGCCACUUUCUGGAAAACAGCAUGAGUGGAAAGAGCAAGCCUAGAAUUGCACAUAUUUUUUUCUACCUGCAAAACACCUCUAAUCCUUCAGAUCUGAAUAGCUGAUCUACAACAAUGGGAGCAUGGCUACUGAGUGCAGACAGGAGCAGUGAGCACGAAUAGUGAGCAGUUAUUAAACCAGACAUAGUAAUGAAGCCAAAGGCAAUGGGAUCCAAAACUAAUUCAGUUGCCUAGCUGGCCUCUGCUGGAGACAGUGUCUGGUGAAUAUGCACCUGUCCAAAAAAGGAGAUGUCUGUGUUGGAAAGCUGAAUCUCUGGAAUUCAAAGUAGAAGUGUGGAAAGCCAGGAGAGUGGUGUGGAUUUCAUCUUGGCUAUCAGCUGGAAGUAUCAGCCUCGGAACAUAUCUUACAAGAUCAGGCUCUGGAAACUUCCUUUAAAGAUAUGGUCCCCAUGAAAUGAAUAAAAUUUAGGCAGCUGGCUUGGACCAAACAGUUGCAAACCCCCCUAACAAUAACACUAUAAAAACAUUAGCAAAUCAGAGAGAGUGAAAACCUGUUUCAAAACUUAAGGAAUAAUGUUUUCUAGGGUACAAAAUUGUUAAGAACUUUUUUCCUAUCAGUAACAAAAAGAAAACACACAAAGCAACAUAAAGAACACUGAAUGGAACCAGUAGCAUCCACCCCACAGACAGGCACCUUUGUAGGAUUUCACAGGGGUUUUGCUUAUAUAGCAAAUUACUUUUGUGUUCUCAGAGUACCUGCACCACUCAUUUCCAAUCAAUUUGUUUUACAGACUCCAGAGUUUUCCCCAGUGAACCUGUGGACCAGGUACAGUAAGCUGAAACCCACUGAAAAUAUUUGCCUCUCCACAGCUGCCUGCCCUGGAUACUUGUAAGCCAGGGCUCUACAGGACAUGGAUUGAAUAUUUAUGAGCCAUGUGGUGGGCAAACCUCUCCUUCUUACCUAUGCUUGGUGGUCUGCAGAAGACACCUUAAAAAUACCAUGGCACCACUCUGCUUCCUGUCUACUACCCAAGGAAGCAGCAGAGGCUGAGGGCUCAGUAAGUUUUUGUGAUGAGUGAGUUAGCACUGAACACUGAAGGUAUUUGUUGGGGAUUAUUAACACAAUAGUGGCACAACCCUGAGGGACUGCAGAAUAGCUUAGGUUGGAAGGGACCUUACAGAACAUCUACUCCAAUUGCCCUACCAUGGGACAAGAAUGCCUCUCAACUAGACUUGGUUGCCCAAGGCCUCAUUCAGUCUGGCCUUAAGCAUCUCUAGCGGCGGGGCAUCCACAACCGUUAUGGGCAGCAUAUUCCAGAAUCUCACCACCCUCAUACUGAAGAACUUCUGCCUAAGAUCUACUCUAAAGCUACUCUCCCUCAGCUGAAAACCAUUCCCCCUAGUCCUGUACCUAGACACCCUUACUAGAAAUCCCUCUCCAGCUUUCCUGUAGGCUACUGGAAGGCAGCUAUAGUGUUCCUCCAGAGUCUUCUCCAGGCUAAGCAACCGCAGCUCCCUUAGCCUAACCUCAUAGCAGAGGUGGUCCAGCCCUUCAGUCAUCCAUGUGGCCUUCGUCUGGAUUUGCUCCAAGAUACAACUGUGUAUCUGUAUGUGGGCCCUAGAAGAGACCCUGGAGAAGUAUCAGUAUUGUCUUGGGUCUCUUCAUUGUCCUGGGCUUUGGCAAAAGAUUGACUUGUAGGAAGAGAGCUGCUGAGAAAUGCAUGACCACUGUUAAAAACCCACUGCAGACCAAGCCUGCCAAGCACACAGACAAGUUCAAGUUUGACAUGUGCCUCCACAUCUUUGAAAUAACCUUCCUUCCAGAAGGGUUGGACAUGGUUUGGUUUUGCUUGCAGAAUGCACAUCAAUGGGUUUACUGGCAGCUCCGAUGCCCCAGAUAAAUAAAGGAAUAAAUAAUAACAGCAGAUGGACACACCAAGAGUGCUCCAGCUGGAAUCAUACUGGCCCUGUCUGAAGCAUCAGCAUGCAAAGGAAGGAAUUCCAUUCUCCUGAGAGGCUGGGUUGCUGUGAUUAUUGAAUCGAAGAGUCUUCUUUUGUUCUACAUACAUGUGAAGUAAAUUUGGCAUGACUGAACUGCUGUUCAUGUGGUUGCUGAAAGCCAUCUUACAGCUCCAGUCUGGCUGCAAAAGCUGAGCAAAACAAAGCAGAAGAGAGGAACCAACUUAGCUGUGCCUACUGAAGCCUGCAUUUUGUUGAAGGACUUUUCUACACUCAUUGCAUUGCUCAAGCUCUUCUUCAGACCCUGGGAGACAGGACGAUGGCCAGAUGCACUGCCCUUCUCACAUCUGGGAAGAUGAUCUCAAGCUUCAUGCUGCCCUUUGGAGUCUCUUGCUAUGGGCUUCCUGCCUUCUGUCACUGCUGGAAUUGGGCUGAUACUUUAGUGAUGUGUGUGAAUUAUUUGGUUUGUUUAAUUGAAUAAAAAAAUCAGAGUUCUUUGACAUGCAGUUCCUCAGACACUGCUUUCUAAAGAAUACAUUAUUUUCUGAUCUAGAGCAUUGAAACUAGUUAAGUGUUGGACUAGCACUUAGAAUGCCCCCACAUGUGGGUGUUGCUGAGCCCUGUGCCACUUCACUACAUUCACAUGCUGUCUGUGCAGAAAACAUUUUGGGGGAGGAAACAUGCAUUUAUGCUGUUCUAACAGCUUUCUCUCCCAUACAAAAUACAACAUAAAAACGACACAGCAGGUACCAAUCCUCAAAAACAAUAAUGAAAGGGUACAGGCAAAUGACACAGCAAGCCAAAAGGUCAGAGUAUCACCCACUAACUGUAACAGCUACCUAAUUCUCUCCUUGGGCCCAGCAGAUAGAACAAGGGGGAUUUUUAACCAGCAGGCUCUGGGGAUCAAGCACUGAAAGGCAGCUUGAGUAUUCACCCCAAAAUGAGAAUGAAGUAAUCUAGAAUAGUAUCUGCCUCGUUGUGGCAAUGAGGGGGAUAAAUAGUAGCUGUUGUGCUGCAACAGGUCUCUAGGGAAGAGAAAAGAGGCUUCAGGUGGUUUUGGACAAGUAAUGCCAUGUGUCAUUUGUCUAUGUGCACACUCCUCCUCCUCCACACCUGCAAACAGUGGUGGAAAGAUACUGGGAUGCCACAUUAGCACUCCUUUCAAGCUUCUAACACCUCUGUUGGUAUGUUUACCCCAUCACCCUAUUAGAUACACAGGUUAGAACUUAGCCUUUUAUCCCAUGGUAGGACUCAUCCCCUUUCUACCAACUCUCCCCUCCACUGUUUAUCCACAGCCUAGGGUGGCUUUUCAGGACAUGGCUUAACGACCGUGGUAGUAGGCUGAUGGUUAGACUCACCCUUAGAGGUCUUUUUCCACAAAAGCAGUUCUAUGAGUCCGUGACCACUUUCCCAUUUUCAUCAUUUUCAAUCCAUGUGAUGUGUGUUCCACACUCAGCAACUACACCACUACUGUCUCAUAGGUGGGCAUAAAUCCAUGCAUACACACAUGUCUGCAUAAACUCCUCCUUCCUACAAAUACAAACAUAUGCUUAAAUAUUAAAAGAGCUGCAAAGCUACUUCUGUAAUUCCCUAUCUAGCUAUUUUUUAAAGAGAUGACUAGUAGCUUGAGUGUCCAACACAGCUGAUUGUCAGAGAAGAGCACUUUAGGGGGGGAAAUAGAUUUAAAAAAAUCAGCAAAUGUAACCAAAACAAUAGAACAAAAGGGAAUGAAAAUUUAGACCACUGCCUACUAUAUGAAGGAAACUGCAGACACCCCAGGUACCAUAAGAGCAACUAUUAGAUAUUGUACCUAUCAAAAAGAUUACUUACAUGCAGACCUGGCUCUGUCCUGGGAGCAGCAGCUCCUUCAGCUUAAUCCUAGCUGACCACUGCAUUUAACUAUUUAAGGAGCAUAGGAGAGGAGUGGCCUCUGCUUCUUGCCUCUAGCAAGUAAUCACAGGCACAUUAUGUAUGAGGGAGUGUCAGCAAAGCAAUGUGGUAACAGGUUACAAUGGGGCCGUGAGUCUCCUACUGCAUGGGUGCUCCAGACAAGUGUCUGUACGUGUUGUCUUAUGCAGGGGGUGAGAAUAGCAUGGAAAUAGACUCAGCUGCCUCAACACUGGGCAAAAUAAACCAUAAAGGCUUCUCUGGAAGGGUGCUUCCUGCUGGACACAUCCCUUGUUAGAGUACAUUGUGGGCCUGGGGUGAUUUUAGUUAUUCAUCAUAGAUCUGCCAUUUUUAGAGGCACUCAAAAGUAAGAAAGAAAGCAGAAGUGUCCUAUACCUUCCCACCCUUCCCCAGCAAUGUUUGGCUCAUACCACCUCCUUAUGCCACAGAAAAGAGGCUAUGCUGUUGUGCCUCUUGUUCAGUGUGCACCUACAUCCCUGCUCAUCCUGAUUUACCCUUCUGGUGAAAGAAUGGGGAAAGAAAGUAGCCAGGAGUGGGAAAGGAUACUGGAUGAAGCAAUCUCACUAUCUUUCAUCUUGUAUUUUCCUGCCCCAAACCCUUAUAUCCUGUUUUGCCAGCUGGGCAUGGGUGUUUUACUCCAUUCAUACACCCUCUCCAUGGCAAAACAACAGGAGUUACACCCUUUCAUGGACAAGUCCCCUUUCAAGAUCAACACAUAACACCAACUUAUGGCUUGCAACAUCUCUAAUUUAACUUGGACUUUACCAUGGGAGCCACAGACAACUGCUGUCCUGGGAUUACUUUGUGCAACCAGAACAAGUGAAGGCAGCUGAGGCAGGAGGAGGGCUCAUGCUAGAGACAGCUUUUUUCCUUCUGUGGAAAGCAGCGGGGAGGAGGACUGUUAAAGGUCCUCACAGCAGCAGGGUAUGUCUGCCUUCAGGAAGUAGCAGCAGCUUUUGCUAUUAAAUCACAGUCAGACAGAUUCAUAAAUUUUCCUUCAGGACUGAAUUCAAACCACUCAUUUUUUCAUGUCUAAUCUUUUCUGAAUAACACACAGUCCUCUGACUGUACCAGCGGCUUGUUAGCUGAGCUGCACCUUUGGCUAACAAGUGCAGAAACAGGAUAAAAUCAGAAGUGGGAAGCUACUGGUUGGAGGAAAGGAGACUUGAUGGUUUCCAGGCAGCAAGAUGAUGGGGAAAGAGAGGCUGAGUGACCUCCCUCGUGUGCCUUCCCCCAUUUGUGUAUAAUCCUCACUGCACUAGACUGCCAGAGCUGUUUUACUGCUAACUCCUCACUCUCAGAGCAAAAUGUGAUACUAAGAGUAUUACUGGUUUAAAGCCACAGGUGUUGUAAGAGCCAAGAUCCCAGCAGAUACGUGAAACAUCAUUAGGCCUGUCUAUUGGGUCUUGGAGCAGGUAAAGCUGAAGACUUGAGAUAUCUGAAUGAACCAGGAGGACACGAUGCACACCCAGGUGGAGGUGCCAGCUAGUGCCAGGGAGCAACGUGUUUGAGUCAGCACAGCUUAUUUGCUGGCUUCCCUGCAGGUCUAGUCAUGGUAGACCCAGGGCUACACUGAAGUUACUGUCUUGUUUCCAGUCUUGGAGGAAGUGUGAUUGCGGCCAGGGAAAGGUGAGCUUCACACCUUGUCCUUUUGCCCUACAUAGCUCCCUUGCAGCUCCUGUCCCCACCCCUAUGGCUACCUGGAGUGUGUUAAUGGAAAACCCACCUGUUUUCAAACCUCUUCCCUAGUUUUGUUGGUCCUUUUUCUUCAAAACAAAAUUAAGUGUUAAGGUACUGAUAACAAAGCCCUUGGUGAUGAUGGCCAUCUGAUCACCUGCACAACACUGAAGUAUAGGCAACACAAACGUACACUAAGGAUGGGAUUUGUUUCACUGCCUUGGACUCUGUGGGUAAUUUCCCUGCUCAGUGGGAAAAGAUAGCUGGCCAUGAAGGAUGAUGAGUCCCUCUCUCAGCACAACAUGCCCCCAAGCUUGCUUGCUAGUGAUUGUGAUUAGCCUUGCACCUAACUUGAUGACAAUAAAAACAUUAUGAGAUGGACUCACCCCUCAGUCACCCCAAAGCAAAGAAUGUAGGAUUUUCACUUGUCUUUCCAAGGCAGGACAGCAAGGGACCCAUGUCACCCAGAGAAAACAUCCAGAUGCCAUUCUCAGUAUGGAACAAAGGAGCUGGAGUUUGGGGGAUGUAGAGGGGUUGGGGAUGUGAGAUGGAGCUAAGUGUGUGACAGGAAUUCUGAGAGUUCAUGACAGGACUGUAUCCCAUUGCCGUGUGGAUGGAGAGAGGCAUGUAGUCACAGCCAUGUGUCUUGACCAGGAAGAAGCACUCAGCAUCUGCUGCAGGGUGACAGCUUCCUUCCUCCACCCACAGCCUUGGAAGUCUGUGGUGGUGCCAGGUAACACCUUUCUUUUUUUUUUUUUAAAUGAAUGAAGGGUGAGGGAACAGGUUUGGAGCAUGAGCAUAAAAGUACAGCCAGAAAAGGGAAUCUUGACAACCUUUCAGUGAAGAAGUAUGAACCCUGCAAGAAGCUGGGAAGCUUCCAUCAGCUCUAUAGCGGAUAGAUCAGGGCACAUUAGUUGAAGGUCUGGUUUUAUUAGUACAGAGGUUUCUUUAUUUAAGGGGGAAAAAAGAUAACCUAAAGAAACAAUACACAUCAGCAAGGCUAUUUUAUUAGUAUUUUUGUACAAAUGCUGGAUUUUACAAUGUUCAUAGAAUCAGUCAAGGUUCAAAGGGACCACAAGGGUCAUCUAGUUCCAACCCUCCUGCCAUGGGCAGGGACACCCUGCCCUAGAUCAGGCUGGCCAGAGCCUCAUCCAGCCUGGCCUUAAACACCUCCAGGGACAGGGCCUCAACUGCCUCCCUGGGCAACCCAUUCCAGGGUUGUUGUCAGCUGUGUAGUGAGAAUCAAAGCCCUGGAGGGGAUUUAGUAGCUGGUGGGAAUUGAAAUAAUCAUCAUGAUUACACUCUUCCAGGACCAAGAACUCCUGGAAGUAUAUGCAGGACAUGACCAAGAGAGGCAGACGUCUUUAAAAUCCUAGGGGUUAGAGGGAGCCAGGAUGGAGGAGUCGUCACGCUGCUGACAGGCCCAGAUGAGCUUCGGGCUCGAAGCAUUUCCCAUGCACACUUUCCUCUGCAGCGUGCUCGCUUGUUUUCCAUGCUCUCACCCCCGUGGGAUAUGAGGUGGAUCAUGUCUUCAAGUGAUAUUUCCUGUCGAGCCAGAGUGACUUGCCUGUCUUGGAGGAAGUGGGAUGAAGGAAUGUCUGGAUCUAAGAUGAGCGAUGAAGCAUCCCUCACGUGGCCAAGUCCUGCAAACAGACCACACUGGCCGCUGGGGAGGGGACAGUUGGGGCAGUCAGGACCUCAACCCCAUGUGGUUCCUUGCAUGCUAGCCCUGUGACUUCACCAAAAAAAAAUCUAGGUCAUGCCCUGACAGGUAUUUCUUCCAGGAAUGAACCAUACCCAAGACAGGAGUUCUGAGGGGUGCCCCUUUCCCAGCAAUCCUUCUAGAGAUUGCUGUUAGCUGAAGAGCCCCAAGGCGGCUCAGAGGCAGGACCUUGCUUGCCUAUGCGGCAAAUGCACAGUCCCCAGGAGGCUGGCAUUAGGGUUAGGGUGCUCUGCAAGCAACUGGAGGCAUCAGCAUUGGAGGAGAAAUAUGUUGAAUUUGCAGAGAGUUAGACAAGAACUGAGGAGGAUUUGUUAGAGUACUGAGCUGUUUUACAUAGAAAACUCCUUCCCAGGACCCUGUUUGGACAGGGCAAUAAUCUUCUGUGUCCCACUGCCAGUUUCCUACUGGUGGUGGCUGAGUCACCUUGGCUUCCUAGAAGAGGUUAAGGAGCAGUUACUCGUGGUGGCUGAGAGUGAGGGCUGCAGGUAUUGUCCUCAGUGCAAGGCCUUUCACACAGGUCAGACCAUGUCACAAACCACAGUGCCCAAGCUCCUGGGGCUGAAAACGAGCUGGAGCUUUCAUUUUGUUGUUGCAAUAGCAGGCCUUGGGCUAGUCCUGGCUGUCUGGUGACUUAUUUCUCUCCAAGCCGAAGUGUAGGGGUGAGAAAAAGCUUGCCUGAAUGCUUGAGUAUUUAUGCGAAACACUAUUGCAGCCCUGAUUGUACACUGGGGCUAAGUGGAAACAACAUGGUGCUGGCACAUCAUCAGCUCAAAGGUCUCUGCUCCAUGCUCAGGCACUGCACUGCAGUCACACGACUCACUCCUUCUUAAUUGUUCUUUCCUACAGGACUUUUAGAUAUUCCCAACAGACCUCCCUGGUUCUCAAGGGAGGACACUGAAGAGCUACUUGUACACUGAAUACAUCAGAUGAAAGAAAAGAGCUUCUGCCUUCUGUGAGAUAUGCAGUCUUUUCCAACGUUUGUUUGCUGAUCUUUCUAAAUGCACUCAUCUUCCUUGGUACUCCAGUGUAGCAGACCUCAGCAGCUUUUGCUGCUCUUCUGUCAUGCUCAGACCCUCCCUUUGUCAGGAAAUUUCAUUUUAUAAUGGUCCCUGAGUGCUGCUGUAACCCCACAUUACGGAAGGCAGCUGC